Non-coding RNA from Dendrothele bispora CBS 962.96, 72 nucleotides. The record is from the annotation of a GenBank genome assembly. Lineage: Eukaryota; Fungi; Basidiomycota; Agaricomycetes; Agaricales.
ACACCGUUGGUGAAGUGGUUAUCAUGCUUGCCCACUGCGCAAGCGGCUUGGGUUCGAUUCCCGAACGGUACA